AAUAAAAUAUUUUGUUUAAUAAAUUUUCAAAGUGAAAUUGAUAAUUGGGCUUGGGCCUUGAGCCCAUCUGGCCCAUGGGCCAACUUGGGUGAAACGAAAUGGGUCGAGAGAGGGGGGCAUAUAUUCAGUUCACGGCAAUCUUUUUUUCUCUCCUUCUUUAAUCUCUGACCCUUCUCUUACUCUCCCUCUAUUUUUCAGUUUCCACCUUUUUGGAGAAUUCUAAUUUCUCUUUGCCCCUCAGAUCCUGACAAAUCCAAUUUUCAGUUGUGCAAAUCGCUCUUUUCUUUAAGACCCCUCAUUUUGAUUAGGUCAAACCAACUCCAUUCAAUUCCAAGAAACCGACUUUCUCGCAACACCCAUCUCGAAAUUUCAUCCGGUUGCUAAGGAGUUUUACAGGAUACAAGUCUUUUUGGCUGGGAAUGGACCCAAUCCCACAUAUUAUGAAAAGAUAUAUCUGAAUAAUUUCCUGUCAGAGAUUCACUAGUUUGAAAAUGGAGUUGAGCCAACCUUGGCUUUAAGUCAUUCAUGCUAUUAACAAAUACCUUUAAGCAGCAUAUGACUGAUAAGAUAGGAUAUGAAGAUAUAUCACUUUUGUAAUAUGAUCCCUUGAAUAUUAUAUCUCGAAUCUCAAUUUAAAAUUUUCUUAUCUCAUAUAGAACAUAGUAUAUCACACCAUUUAUCGUAUUUCAUUCUAGAAGAAAUAAUGGUAUAAUUUAUUUUAUUACAUCAUUGAUCAAAUAUGAGAUAUGAGAUAGAAUAUGCAAUCGGAUGUCUUAUUAUAUCAUAUGUUGUAUCCCAUCAAUCAAAUAAAGCUAUCAUUAUGACGUGUUUGGCACUUGGUAUAAGAAUAGAAAUGAAGGUGAAUCAAAGUAGAAUAAGAGAAGAAUCAAAAUCAUAAAUAGCAGAGUUUUGGGUUCCACAGAAUCAAUUUUUAUAUCUAGUUUCAUUUCUAAUUUUACUCGGAGCAAUUGUUGUUUUUAGUAUUUAAAGUUAAUUUCACUCACCUCCUUGUUGGUUGAAUACAUCUAAACCUUGUUGAUUUUGAAAUUUUAUCAAACACUUUAUUUAUUUCGAGUGAAAUGGAAAAUAUGUGAAAAUGAUAAAGAAGUUGUAGACCCAUUUUGUGAGGGGCUCGGGGGGAGAGUUUUCUGGACUUCUUUGCAUUUCUUUUUUUUAAAUAAGGAGGGGGACCCCUUUUUCUCCUAGAGGGAAGCCGGAUCGGACGGGCAGCAAAGGAGCAAGGAGGCCAUGCUGCUGAUGGAGGAACAGGAAAACAAGUAGGGGCUUGCCAAGGAAGAUAGGAACAGAGGCUUGGCUGGGGGAAGAAGAGAGCUGAGGGUGAGUGGGGGGGACACAGGGAAGAGAGGCAAGCAGGAGGAGGGAUCUUUUUGCUGAUUGCUUGUGAGUAUUGCUCUGUUUCGGCUCCCUUUCACAUUUUCUUAUUCUUUUGUUGCAAAAUGAUUCAUGUUUGGUCUCAAGGUGGUGAUUGAUGGUCAUACAUUAGUUUAUUUUCCGUUCGUUCAAUUGGUUUUUCAAUCUGUUGAUAAUGCAUGAAGUGAGGUUACAACGAUUAAAUCCUCAGACCUCUCAUCCUUGCUCGGUUCCUUAGCAAUCUCUUUCUUCAUACCUCUCAUGCUACCAACCUCCUGUUCAUGCACACGUGAACUGCACAUCCACUCCUACCCUCCAUUUUUCCUCCUCAUUUUCCUCCCGUUUUCUCACUCCUCAAAACACCAGAAGAAGACGUCUACCAAGAUAGCAGCCGGAGAUGCUCAAAACUCCAACUCCACUUCGAGCCUAACGCCAAAGCUCCAAAAUCCUAGCAAUGGAGAGCCCCGGAUGCAGUUCUGGGAGCAUGAGGCUCUCUUACGGCGCUCCGACGAGUCCCAUGCACCUCGAAUUCUACGUGACGGCGUCGCCAUCAACUCUCCCCUCAUCGUCGCCAUCCCUUGAAGCCACUCUACACAGGCCGCCUGCUACAGGAACUCGGUGGUAGUGGCAUUGUCGACGACGCACGUGGCGAACUCUCCCCCAGACGGCCAGGUUCGACCGAGGAAGCUCCUCACGCGCCUAUAAAGGCCGCAGCUGCUAGCCCCACUCUCAGACACCGACACCAGGCCGCCGCUGCUGGCUCCACUUCCGGAUGCCGACAUUGGAACAUGACGACAAACACGGCAUAUGCGGCAGCAAUCGAGGCGGCGCGGAGGGUUGGCAGCUUGGACCAACUUCGAAGACCUCCGGCGAUGCCUCUCUCACCUCCAUUCCCUCCGUCGUCGUCGCCUGAGGUGAAGAAGAAGAGCAUGUGAUGAAAGGCCCAAAGGGAGAUGAGAAUCAACUUGGGCCUUAGUGGGCUGGAUUAGAUGAAAGGUCCAAGUUUGUCUUGAAGGUAGUGGGUGCCUUGGGCUUGCCCAUUGAUGUCAUUGGACUUGGGCUUGAGUUGGCGUCCAGGCCCAGUUCGUGUGGAUGAAGGGCCUUAUGCUAAUCCUUCAAAAAUCCCUUGUUUUAAUUUAAUUCUUCAAAUAUUUGUUUAAAUCUUAUUUUCAUAAAUCGAAUCAUUAUCCCAUAUUUAUUAGUUA
Vitis vinifera (wine grape) is the source of this 2576-nucleotide long non-coding RNA. RefSeq lists it as uncharacterized. The record is from RefSeq and is a predicted model, not a curated record. The transcript is spliced from 2 exons. NCBI's taxonomy places the organism in Eukaryota, Viridiplantae, Streptophyta, Magnoliopsida, Vitales, Vitaceae.